GGACAGGUGCCGGAGUGGUCGAUCGGGCACGCCUGGAAAGCGUGUGUGCCGGAAACGGUACCGAGGGUUCGAAUCCCUCCCUGUCCGCCA
This 90-nucleotide transfer RNA is filed under the name Verrucomicrobiales bacterium. RNAcentral's name for it is "tRNA-Ser". It matches the Rfam family "tRNA". Rfam says of the family: Transfer RNA (tRNA) molecules are approximately 80 nucleotides in length. Their secondary structure includes four short double-helical elements and three loops (D, anti-codon, and T loops). Further hydrogen bonds mediate the characteristic L-shaped molecular structure. tRNAs have two regions of fundamental functional importance: the anti-codon, which is responsible for specific mRNA codon recognition, and the 3' end, to which the tRNAs corresponding amino acid is attached (by aminoacyl-tRNA synthetases). tRNAs cope with the degeneracy of the genetic code in two manners: having more than one tRNA (with a specific anti-codon) for a particular amino acid; and 'wobble' base-pairing, i.e. permitting non-standard base-pairing at the 3rd anti-codon position. The record is from RNAcentral. RNAcentral also lists the same sequence under 2 other names. Lineage: Bacteria; Pseudomonadati; Verrucomicrobiota; Verrucomicrobiia; Verrucomicrobiales.